Long non-coding RNA from Archocentrus centrarchus (flier cichlid), 1219 nucleotides. RefSeq lists it as uncharacterized. NCBI's taxonomy places the organism in Eukaryota, Metazoa, Chordata, Actinopteri, Cichliformes, Cichlidae. The transcript has 3 exons. The record is from RefSeq and is a predicted model, not a curated record.
GCUGUGGAUGAGAGCCAAGCAGGGUUAUCAUCAUGCAACAAGACACAGAGGAGCGGAGAUGGAGAGGAAGAUGAACUACGACUGAUGCUUCUUGACAGACACAAGUUUAUUACCUGAAGAGUAUCCUCAGGAUGUUUGCCACCAGCAGGACCAUGCACACGUAGGUGGAGAAGCCCUCUGCAUUCUGGGUCCUGCGGAUGUCCCUGUACUGCGGGAUGUAGGGGACCACCCCACCGAACACCAUGGCACCGGCAGCGACCCACGCAACCAGUGUGUUAAACACGGACAGGAUCUGGUCAAACACCUCAUCUUCCAUGCUGCUCGCCGGCGAGAGAAGUGAGGAGGUGUGAACUGGCUGUCAGUGGCUCUGGAGACUAUUUUCGGGUGUUUAUCCUACUCUGGCUCCUGGCGGCGGCUUUGAGGCUGGGAGAGGAAAAUCCGUAUUGUCCACGCAUGACUGAGAAGCGGCGGCUAACGCCACGCCAUCACAGAGCCGGAAAGCACAAAUGACGGAGCAGGUGGAAACAGCAAGCAGGAAGCACGGUAAAUUCACGAUAAAGCAGCGGCUGUAUUAUCGCUGGAGGAGGCAGUGACCGAUAACGCUGCUCUGGAGGAAGCACCGCAGCUAUCCGGGUGUUACAGGGACGAGGAGCGAGCUUUUGAUCCACACAGACACGUGGGAGGUUCCUCUGCAUCUUCAGACUCACUUCAGACUCAUAUACACAGAGUUAGCAGUUGUUGCUGGUCCACCUGUGAGUCACUGAUGCUCCUCAGUGGGCUGAGCCUCACCAACAGCUGGAUGAGCAGAUCCUCCAGCAGGUCACUGCUGACAGUCACUGCAGCAGGCAGAGGAGGCUGGGACCUGAGAGAGGAGCUGUGGAUCAGCUCAGUGCUGGUGGAGCUCUGAGUGUCUGCUCUCUCCAAAUUGUUUGAUAUGUCGGACUUCAUGUUCUUGAAAAGUAAUUAGAUAAACGAGGAUCACAGACUAUUCAGGUCACACCUUGGCAUUUGUUUGAACUUUUCUUGCAUCAUGCUUUUUCUACCUCAAUACUUGUUUAAACAUAAGGUGGGACACCUGGUCCCCCCCCCAGUCACAGGUUUGGUCUGUGUGCUGGGAGUUCACUGACUUUUCAUAUGGUGAGAUGAUGUUUUAUUUGGUGUUUUCUGUGGUUUUUGGUUUGUAGAACACUUUCAGUGCUCCAUCAGUAAGUGAUCGGCU